This is a long non-coding RNA of Erinaceus europaeus (western European hedgehog), 850 nucleotides long. RefSeq lists it as uncharacterized. The record is from RefSeq and is a predicted model, not a curated record. The transcript is spliced from 2 exons. Lineage: Eukaryota; Metazoa; Chordata; Mammalia; Eulipotyphla; Erinaceidae.
UGGACACAUAGGUGGGGUUGUCUGCUCCGGCAAGUCAGGCUGGCAUCAUGUUAGCAUCUGGAACCUUUUACUUUUUACCUUUUUUUUUAUUGCCACCGAGUUAUCACUAGGGCUUGGUAUCUGCGUGCAAAUCAACCUCUCCUCUUCUGGUGGUCAUAUUUUUCUUUUCUUUUAUUUGCUAGGACAUAGAGAAACUGAGAAAGGAGUAGGAGACAGAGGAGAGAAAGCGGCACUUACAGCACUGCUUCACCACUCAUGUAGCUUCCCCCUGCAGGUGGGAGGGGGAGAGGGGUCUUGAACCUGGGUCCUUGUGCAUGGUAAUGUAUGUACUCAACUGGGUCUGUAACCACUCAGCAACCUUGAGAAAACUCUUGAAGGUUGUGAGUUGCUUGGUGAGUGGGUAGCCUCUUUCCAUCCUCCCAACAGACAUUAUAAGACAGGCAGAUGUUUCCAGCAAACACAACAGCAUCAGACCAGACCAACAGGAGUUGUUUUCACAAAGACUCUGGUUCAAUCACAUGCACUGAAGAUGAGGAGUUGGUAUCUGGGAGUGGCUUUGGCAAGAACUGUAGCAGUCACCUUCCUCACUGGCCAGAAUGAGUGUGGGAAACAUGGAGUGUGUCUAAGGGGGAAAAGGCAGCUGAGCCGGAGUUCUAGAAUUAUCUGACUCUCGUCCUGUACCAUGAACAUAGAAAAGGAUUCUGUUGGGCACCCCAAGUUCUGACAUAAGCAGCGGAAAUUGCUGACACAGAGCAUUGCAUUUGAAGAGUACUUGAAAGAAGCAGGGAAUGUGCUUUGCUCUGUCAAAAGAGCCCGGAGGACUCUGCUAGUAAAAGGAAGGAAAAAUCAA